This 253-nucleotide ribosomal RNA is filed under the name uncultured bacterium. Its description in RNAcentral is "partial 16S ribosomal RNA". It matches the Rfam family "Bacterial small subunit ribosomal RNA", at positions 524 to 776 of the family's 1533-position model. The record is from RNAcentral.
UACGUAGGGUGCAAGCGUUGUCCGGAAUUAUUGGGCGUAAAGAGCUCGUAGGCGGCCUGUCGCGUCGGCUGUGAAAACCCGGGGCUCAACCCCGGGCCUGCAGUCGAUACGGGCAGGCUAGAGUCCGGCAGGGGAGACUGGAAUUCCUGGUGUAGCGGUGAAAUGCGCAGAUAUCAGGAGGAACACCGGUGGCGAAGGCGGGUCUCUGGGCAACAACUGACGCUGAGGAGCGAAAGCGUGGGGAGCGAACAGG